Long non-coding RNA from Chelonus insularis, 265 nucleotides. RefSeq lists it as uncharacterized. The record is from RefSeq and is a predicted model, not a curated record. NCBI's taxonomy places the organism in Eukaryota, Metazoa, Arthropoda, Insecta, Hymenoptera, Braconidae. The transcript has 3 exons.
CUUUUUUAUUUCUAUUAUCAAUUUGUGCUAUGAUUUAUUAGAAUCUGUAUGAAACGUAUUUCAUUUAUUUAAUAAUAUGAUAUUUUUUCUAAACCAUACAAGAGCAAUGAACUGGGUAAGAUGCUUUUAUGUUCUUUGAUGUGUGGUCUCGAUUGAUCAAAUUCCAUCAUCAGGUGACAUCGAAGAGAUUUAGUCAAGAUGAUGAUGAUGAUGCGGGUCUGUUUUCUCUGAUUGAAGAGAUGUUAAGGAAUGAAGUAGACGGUGC